GACGAACGCUGGCGGCGUGCUUAACACAUGCAAGUCGAACGAAGAGCGCUGGAAGCUUGCUUCUAUCAAUCUUAGUAGCGAACGGGUGAGUAACGCGUAAUCAACCUGCCCUUCAGAGGUGGCCAACAGUAGGAAACGACUGUUAAUACUGCAUACGAUCUAACCUCGGCAUCGAGGGAAGAUGUUAGGUGGCCUCUAUGUAUCAGCUAUCACUGCAGCUGGGGAGUGCGGCUGAUUGGUUAGAUGGAGGGGUAACGGCCCACCAAGGAGAUGAUCAGUAGCAGGACUGAGUGGAUGGACAGCCAGAUUGGGACGGUGACACGGCCCAGUGGGCUACGGGAGGGAGCAGUAGGGAAACGUGCGCAAGGGACGAAAGUCUGACGGAGCAACGCGGCGUGAGGAAUGACGGCCUUCGGGUUGUAAAGCUCGGUUAUUCGGGACGAAAGGCCUUCUUGCGGAGAGGGAGAAGGAGUGACGGUACUGGAAUAGAAAGCCACGGCUAACUACGUG
Molecule: ribosomal RNA, 510 nt
Filed under: uncultured bacterium
Lineage: Bacteria
Description: partial 16S ribosomal RNA
Rfam family: Bacterial small subunit ribosomal RNA
Source: RNAcentral